Molecule: long non-coding RNA, 571 nt
Filed under: Notechis scutatus (mainland tiger snake)
Lineage: Eukaryota; Metazoa; Chordata; Lepidosauria; Squamata; Elapidae
Description: lncRNA (ENSNSUG00000009272.1)
Source: RNAcentral
GAAAAUUGAAGGGAAUUGUCCAGGAAGACUCUGAGAAUUGGACAUGAUCAAACAGAAGAGAGAAAAAACCUGCUGGGGUAAAAUUAAUGACUUGGAACACCAACUUCAUUUAGCAAACCAAAAGAUAAAUGCCUUGGAAUAUAAAAAAAAGGACAAAUUUGCUUCAAUUCAACGAAGACUGUCAUCUGACAAAUGUAUGUGCAAAAAGAAAGGAAGCUGUUCCUGCAAAUAUUUAGACCAGCUGCUUUUUGAGACACAGAGACUGAAGAUGGAAAAUGAAACGCUCUCCAAAGAAAGAAGAAUGUUAAAAAAUGAGCUUGCUGCAUUAGAUAAGGAUUUCUUUGAUGAAAUAGAAGAUUUAAAAUAUGCUCUACAAGAAGCCGUAAAGCUGAAUACCCACUAUGAAAAGUAUUUAAAACAGUUAAGUUCCACUUAUGGAAUCACUCUUACAGUGUUGAGAGCUGGCAAUCCUCGUACAACUUUAUGGAAAUAAUAAUCAAGACUAUUAUUAAAGUAUACUGAGUGUACACAGAAAAAUAAACUCUCAACAGAGUAAUUUCUUAAUUUGUGC